GACGAACGCUGGCGGCGUGCUUAACACAUGCAAGUCGAACGGGAAGGCCCUGCUUUUGUGGGGUGCUCGAGUGGCGAACGGGUGAGUAACACGUGAGUAACCUGCCCUUGACUUUGGGAUAACUUCAGGAAACUGGGGCUAAUACAGGAUAGGAGCUCCUGCUGCAUGGUGGGGGUUGGAAAGUUUCGGCGGUGGGGGAUGGACUCGCGGCUUAUCAGCUUGUUGGGGGGGUAGUGGCUUACCAAGGCAUUGACGGGUAGCCGGCCUGGGAGGGUGACCGGCCUCAUUGGGCCUGCGAUACGGCCCAGACUCCUACGGGAGGCAGCAGGGGGAAAUAUUGCACAACGGGCGGAAGCCUGAUGCAGCAAUGCUGCGUGCGGGAUGACGGCCUUCGGGUUGUAAACCGCUUUCGCCUGUGACGAAGCGUGAGUGACGGUAAUGGGUAAAGAAGCACCGGCUAACUACGUG
This 468-nucleotide ribosomal RNA is filed under the name uncultured bacterium. Its description in RNAcentral is "partial 16S ribosomal RNA". It matches the Rfam family "Bacterial small subunit ribosomal RNA", at positions 28 to 507 of the family's 1533-position model. The record is from RNAcentral.